AAUAAUGAUUUAUUAUAGUAUAACGGAAACCAUGAAUAUACAAAGAAUUCUAUCAUCUUUACACGCCGAAUAUAAAGUUCUGAUUUAGACAAUAAAGUACAUAAAGACCAUAAUACUACAGAGGUAUCAUUUGCAAUGAAAAGCGAAAAGAGACAGAAAGUUCACGAUUCUCUCUCUAAAAAAAAAUCCUCUCUAAAAAAACCCUAAUUUCCAGAUCUGUUUGGGUGGCCGGCGGCUUCUUGUCGUCUCCGGUCCGCCCCCUCCUCCUUAUGUUUUUUUUUUCUUGUUCCUCGUCGCUCCUCCUCCCCUCUAUUCUCUCGUUUCCUUUCAUGGCGCUCUGGACUUUGCGUCACCGCGGUUCUAGAUCUGGCGUAUUUUGGCUUUGGAGUCCCGGAGAAACGUGACGGUAGAGGUGUGGAGUGGUUUCUCUGGUUAAGCGUGGUGGCGGUGGUCUCGAUCUGGGUCAGAUCUUGAUUCCGGAAGGGCUCUUCUCCUUCCUCUGUUUCCAUUGCUUCUCCUUCUCGGCGUGGGUGAGUUGGCUCGCUCGAUCUGAGCCGUUGUUGGUUUCUUCGGGGCAGUGGAGGGGCGGUGUUCUUCUGUAUCGCUCCUGGUCUCCGAUGGCGUGUUCUUUUAGAUCUGUGAGUCUGUCUCGCUGAAGAUCCUCCGGAGUUGCUUUUGGUCCGAAGCUGAGAAGAUCUGGAGCGGGUUCUCCGUUACAGGCCGCGUGCGAGGAGGAGAGUUGGUGGAGUUGUCAACCGCGGCUUUCUUCCUUGGUGACGGCGCGUGCUGAGCCAGCAAGCUUCAGGGGAAUGAUCUAGGGCUGCCCUCUGACCACCUUCGACUCAAGGUGGUACUUGCUAGCUCUGUCUUUUUUGUGUAGGUUCAUAGGCGUGUGGCGUCUCCUGGUUGUUCUUCUUCCCAAAUAAAGCUCAGCCUUCGUCUUCACCGGUGUUCUAGACCAUGGGUUUUGCGGUCUGACUUGACUGGUUGCAGAUUGAGGUGUGUCGCAAGCUGUUCUUGGUGAGCUAAAUUUUAAAGACCUGUUCAUCGGGGAGGCCAAAAUUACCGGGCUCAGGAUCUCGUAUUAACUGUGGUUCUCUCUUUUGCGGCAAGCGUCAGGUCCGAUUCUGCUGUGUCUCGUUUAGCUGUUGUCUCUAAUGUCUGUCCUUGUGAGUCUUAGUAUGAGUGUCUGUUUAGUUGCUUUCAAUUACUCUGCUUCUAGUUUCCUCUGUCCUUCUGUAACAAAUUUGAAAAACCGGUGAUUAAUCUUAACAUUGUUACAAAAAAAAAGGUAUCAUUUGCAACAAACUGUUACAGUUGGUGAAAAUGUUGUUUACACAGACGAAAUGACUGACUUU
This 1358-nucleotide long non-coding RNA is filed under the name Brassica napus (rape). RNAcentral's name for it is "long non-coding RNA (BNAP_LNC006063)". The record is from RNAcentral. Lineage: Eukaryota; Viridiplantae; Streptophyta; Magnoliopsida; Brassicales; Brassicaceae.